GGGUUGUGAGGUUAAGCGACUAAGCGUACACGGUGGAUGCCCUGGCAGUCAGAGGCGAUGAAGGACGUGCUAAUCUGCGAUAAGCGUCGGUAAGGUGAUAUGAACCGUUAUAACCGGCGAUUUCCGAAUGGGGAAACCCAGUGUGUUUCGACACACUAUCAUUAACUGAAUCCAUAGGUUAAUGAGGCGAACCGGGGGAACUGAAACAUCUAAGUACCCCGAGGAAAAGAAAUCAACCGAGAUUCCCCCAGUAGCGGCGAGCGAACGGGGAGGAGCCCAGAGCCUGAAUCAGUGUGUGUGUUAGUGGAAGCGUCUGGAAAGGCGCGCGAUACAGGGUGACAGCCCCGUACACAAAAAUGCACAUGCUGUGAGCUCGAUGAGUAGGGCGGGACACGUGGUAUCCUGUCUGAAUAUGGGGGGACCAUCCUCCAAGGCUAAAUACUCCUGACUGACCGAUAGUGAACCAGUACCGUGAGGGAAAGGCGAAAAGAACCCCGGCGAGGGGAGUGAAAAAGAACCUGAAACCGUGUACGUACAAGCAGUGGGAGCACAGAGCAAUCUGUGUGACUGCGUACCUUUUGUAUAAUGGGUCAGCGACUUAUAUUCUGUAGCAAGGUUAACCGAAUAGGGGAGCCGAAGGGAAACCGAGUCUUAACUGGGCGUUAAGUUGCAGGGUAUAGACCCGAAACCCGGUGAUCUAGCCAUGGGCAGGUUGAAGGUUGGGUAACACUAACUGGAGGACCGAACCGACUAAUGUUGAAAAAUUAGCGGAUGACUUGUGGCUGGGGGUGAAAGGCCAAUCAAACCGGGAGAUAGCUGGUUCUCCCCGAAAGCUAUUUAGGUAGCGCCUCGUGAAUUCAUCUCCGGGGGUAGAGCACUGUUUCGGCAAGGGGGUCAUCCCGACUUACCAACCCGAUGCAAACUGCGAAUACCGGAGAAUGUUAUCACGGGAGACACACGGCGGGUGCUAACGUCCGUCGUGAAGAGGGAAACAACCCAGACCGCCAGCUAAGGUCCCAAAGUCAUGGUUAAGUGGGAAACGAUGUGGGAAGGCCCAGACAGCCAGGAUGUUGGCUUAGAAGCAGCCAUCAUUUAAAGAAAGCGUAAUAGCUCACUGGUCGAGUCGGCCUGCGCGGAAGAUGUAACGGGGCUAAACCAUGCACCGAAGCUGCGGCAGCGACGCUGAUGCGUUGUUGGGUAGGGGAGCGUUCUGUAAGCCUGUGAAGGUGUGCUGUGAGGCAUGCUGGAGGUAUCAGAAGUGCGAAUGCUGACAUAAGUAACGAUAAAGCGGGUGAAAAGCCCGCUCGCCGGAAGACCAAGGGUUCCUGUCCAACGUUAAUCGGGGCAGGGUGAGUCGACCCCUAAGGCGAGGCCGAAAGGCGUAGUCGAUGGGAAACAGGUUAAUAUUCCUGUACUUGGUGUUACUGCGAAGGGGGGACGGAGAAGGCUAUGUUGGCCGGGCGACGGUUGUCCCGGUUUAAGCGUGUAGGCUGGUUUUCCAGGCAAAUCCGGAAAACUAAGGCUGAGGCGUGAUGACGAGGCACUACGGUGCUGAAGCAACAAAUGCCCUGCUUCCAGGAAAAGCCUCUAAGCAUCAGGUAACAUCAAAUCGUACCCCAAACCGACACAGGUGGUCAGGUAGAGAAUACCAAGGCGCUUGAGAGAACUCGGGUGAAGGAACUAGGCAAAAUGGUGCCGUAACUUCGGGAGAAGGCACGCUGAUAUGUAGGUGAAGUCCCUCGCGGAUGGAGCUGAAAUCAGUCGAAGAUACCAGCUGGCUGCAACUGUUUAUUAAAAACACAGCACUGUGCAAACACGAAAGUGGACGUAUACGGUGUGACGCCUGCCCGGUGCCGGAAGGUUAAUUGAUGGGGUCAGCGCAAGCGAAGCUCUUGAUCGAAGCCCCGGUAAACGGCGGCCGUAACUAUAACGGUCCUAAGGUAGCGAAAUUCCUUGUCGGGUAAGUUCCGACCUGCACGAAUGGCG
RNAcentral lists this ribosomal RNA (1986 nucleotides) under Escherichia coli. Its description in RNAcentral is "partial 23S ribosomal RNA". It matches the Rfam family "Bacterial large subunit ribosomal RNA", at positions 1 to 2001 of the family's 2925-position model. The record is from RNAcentral. Lineage: Bacteria; Pseudomonadati; Pseudomonadota; Gammaproteobacteria; Enterobacterales; Enterobacteriaceae.